UUUUUUUUUUUAGUAGAGACGGGUUUCACCCAUACUGGUCAGGCUGGUCUGAAAUUCCUGACCUUGUGAUCUGCCCACCUCAGACUUCCAAAGUGCUGGGAUUACAGGCGUGAGCCACCACACCUGGCUAAUCCUAGUAUUUUUAUACCACUGUUAGGAAGAGAAAGAAUUCUGUUUCCUCUGGGAAUCUAACAGACCACUAUGAGGGCCCUUAGAAUAAAGCCAACACAGAGGUAUGCAAACAUAACAAUGGAGAGGGCUGGGUGUGAUGACUCACACCUGUAAUCCCACCACUUUGGGAGGCUGAGGCAGGCACAUCACCUGAAGUCAGGAGACCAGCCUGGCCAACAAGGUGAAACCCCAUCUCUACUAGAAAUACAAAAAUUAGCUGGGUGUGGUGGCGGGCGCCUGUAAUCUCAGCUACUUGGUAGGCUUGGCUCCAGAAGGAGCCAAGAUUGCACCAUUGCACUUUAGCCUGGGUGACAAGAGUAAAGCUCUGUUUCAACAACAACAAAGAAUGGAGAGUUGCUGAUGACAGCUGAACCUAGCUCCAGAAACCCCUGAAAAUCUAUUUUUCAGUUACUUGAGCUAAUAAGUACCCCCUCUCCAUCUUUUUUUUUCUUUUCUUUUCUUUUUCUUUUGCCUUUGUUGUGGGUCUCCCUGAAGAUCCAGUCUCCACUAGGAUUUUCAGGGCAGGCAAAAACUCCAGCCUCACAUAUACACAUAUUCUCAGGUUUCAGAAACAUGGGCAGCCCAGGGCCAAUCAGGGAUGUGAGAAUGGAUCCAAGGAGCACCCCCUCCCCAACACCCUCACAGCCCCUCCAUACUGAUGCUGACGAAUUGAAUGUUGGCUUGGUCCGAGCCUAGGGGUUAGUGGCUGUGCGUGUGAAGAGGGCGUAAUCCUGGGCUGCAGACACAUUGGCAAUGGUCAGGAGGCUGCUGUGGACACCACCCUGGUGGUAUGUGUGCUCUGUGUACCUAGAGAGAAGGUAGGGCACCACUCAUCCUUUCAUUCACCCCACCACUUAUGCUUGGAAUCAUCUAUACAGACAUCCAUUCAUUUAACCAUCUGCCUAUCUAUCCAUUCAUCCAUUAAUCUUUUCAUCCACUCAUCCAUUCACUCACUCAUUCCUCCAUGCAUUAAUCUUCCUUCUCUGCACCCUUCUCUGCAGGGACUCAGGGAGGGGAAAUGAGGCUGGAGGUCCAGACCUGGGGCUGGAGUGCUGCCUGGCUGGGCC
This 1238-nucleotide long non-coding RNA is filed under the name Macaca fascicularis (crab-eating macaque). RNAcentral's name for it is "lncRNA (ENSMFAG00000062417.1)". Lineage: Eukaryota; Metazoa; Chordata; Mammalia; Primates; Cercopithecidae. The record is from RNAcentral.